CCAUAAGAAACCCCCAAUUUUGCCUGCGACGACGCCACGAAGAAAAAAAAAAAAAACCAAAAAAAAUCGAAAAUCCUUUUUUACAGGGGAGAGAGAAUCUAGAGAGAGAGAGAGAGAGAGAAAACAACUUAGAGAGAGAAAGCUUGACGAGAGUGAAGAAGGAGAGUAAUGGCGGAGGGGAGGAAGGAGAGGAGGCCGAGCAGCGAAGAGAGCGUGAAGCUGUUCGUCGGCCAAGUGCCCAAGCACAUGAACGAAGCUCAACUCCUCGCAAUGUUCCAAGAGUUCUCGCUCGUCGACGAGGUCAACAUCAUCAAGGACAAGACCACGCGCGCGUCUAGAGGGUGCUGCUUUGUGAUAUGUCCGUCGAGGGAGGAGGCAGAUAAGGCGGUCAAUGCAUGUCACAAUAAGAAGACCUUGCCCGGGGCAUCAAGUCCGUUGCAAGUGAAGUAUGCUGAUGGCGAGUUAGAAAGACUAGAACAUAAGCUCUUUGUCGGUAUGCUUCCAAAGAAUGUUUCCGAAGUUGAAGUAUCCGAUCUUUUCUCUAAAUACGGAACAGUAAAGGACCUACAGAUAUUAAGGGGUUCUCAGCAAACGAGCAAAGGCUGUGCAUUUUUAAAGUAUGAGACAAAAGAACAAGCACUUGCUGCCCUGGAAGCCAUUAAUGGAAAACACAAAAUGGAGGGUUCAAGUGUUCCUUUGGUUGUCAAAUGGGCAGACACAGAAAAGGAAAGGCUAGCUCGGAGAGCCCAAAAAGCUCAUUCACAGGCUGCUAAUGUGCCAAAUUCUGAUUCACAACCUCCAUCUUUAUUUGGAGCCUUGCCUAUGAGUUACGUUCCCUCAUAUAAUGGGUAUAGUUAUCAGGCUCCUGGAACAUAUGGCCUUAUGCCAUACCGCCUGCCAGCACUGCAAAAUCAACCAGGUUUCCAUAAUAUGAUACCCCCUGUAAAUCAAGGAAAUGCUUUACAUCGAAUUACACCCGACCUUCCUCCCAAUAUUGCCCCUAGAAAUUUUGCCAUGCGUCCAAGUUACCUGGGUUCUGGUUAUCCUGCGGUUCCAGGUCUUCAGCAUCCAAUGAUAUAUCCGGGAGGAAUGGUGAGUCACCGGCCAUUGAGCGCCUCACCUGGUUCAUUGUCGCCUCUAGUUGUGAACAGUAACCCAGCCACAUCCUUAGGCACCAGUAGAAGUUCCGGGGGUCAGGUUGAAGGUCCUCCUGGUGCUAAUUUAUUUAUCUACCACAUACCUCAAGAAUUUGGAGAUCAAGAGCUUGCUAAUGCUUUUCAAGCAUUUGGUAGGGUUUUGAGUGCCAAGGUUUUUGUUGAUAAAGCAACCGGUGUCAGCAAAUGUUUUGGAUUUGUAAGCUAUGAUUCACCAGAGGCUGCUCAAUCUGCUAUCGGUGUUAUGAAUGGAUACCAAUUAAGUGGUAAGAAAUUAAAGGUUCAGCUCAAGAGAGAUAACAAGCAGAACAAACCCUAUUAAUUUCAAGGUGAGUGAUGGAAGGACGCAAGUUCUUUAUAGCAAGUGGUCGCAUGCAAAUUGGAUGUAUGGAGUCGCUGCAUCAACCUUGUGGGAUGGAUUUAGAUGAUUUGCAAAGAUAUGGUUUAUUUCAUCCCGCUUGUAAUUUCCUCAAAGGAAUGAAAGGCCUGAAAACUUGUAAUUCAUGAAGUGUUUCCUGGGCUCAUUGGCGUCAUGAUGCAGGCUGCAUGUAGACCACUGCAUCUGUGGUCUCAGUUGUUGCUUCUUUUGGUUUGAACUAUCCGUGGGAUAUGAUGACACGACCAAACGAAAAGUUACCUGUUGAGAUUGUGCCUCAUUGUAGAGAGGAAAGUAGUUAAAACGCCUUUAUUGCAGUCUGCAUUGCAGCUGACAAAGGUAUGAUCCACAAACCUUAGAAACCCCAUUAAUUCCUUUGAGUUAACUUAAUGAGGCUUUUCAUUCUUCCUAUUCUUGAAACACAAGUGUUUAGUUUCUGUUAUUGAUACAUCUCUUUUAUGAUAAGUAUGUAUGUAGGGUGGGUUUUUUUUUUUGGGUAUCCUUUCAUGUGUAGUCUUUGAAUUUUUAUUUUUAUCUUCAUCCACCGAGUCAGUAGCUGUUGUGUCAUUUGAAAUCAUAGGUUGGCUUAUGUGUGGGGCACCUAUACUCUUCAAAUUUUGGCCUGAAAGUUUGGCAUAUCGCAUGUGUUUGAAUUUGAAAUUAUCAUCGUAAAAUGGGUGAAAAUCUGUCCCCACAGAUAGCAUGUUGUGAUUGGCCUACAAAAUUCUUGUUCAUAAGAGCACCGCUGAUGCCUUUUUUAUCGAUAUGCUCAUAUCUCAAAUGAGCACAUGUUGAAUGCUACUGAUGCCUCUAGUUGAAGGCUUCAUGUACUGAAAAAAUACAUAAUGACUUAUAACAACUCAGCAUUGAACAGUGUAGCUAGGGAAAGGAAAAAUGAGAAUAAUGGAAUAAUUAGGUCACUGGGAUUGAAUGGCUGAUUAGAAGUCGAAAAGUUUCCUAGGGUGAAAGUAUAUGCCAUAAGCUGGGAAUGACAACAGUUGUUCUCUCAGGAAAGAAAUAAUGUAGUUGAUGUUGAUAGUUUAGUCUUGCAUAUGAUUUUCAUUACGCCAUUGCUGUGCCAUAAGAGUAAUCGGCUAAAAUUACUUGCAAACUGGCACAUGUAGAUUUCAUUAUCAUUAUUGGGUACAUUAUAAGCUUUCUAGUGUUUGAACACUGCUAUUCUCAUAAGUUGAACACUGUGUCUCUCCUUGCAUCCCUUCCUCGUCGAUCUUCUGGGGAAAUUUUGAAAUAACAUGUAUGGAAAUCUAUUUUAUAGUGACUUUACUUUGAGAUCAACAGGUAUUCUGAAUUUCUUUGUAUCUAUCUCGGCAUGAUGCACUAUCCCUCCACAGCCUCUCGCUAACGCUUAAUGAUCUUUUAAGGACCAAGAAGAACUCUCAUACAUCAGUCGUGGGUGCUUGUUUCAUCCAUAUGUUCCAACUCUCUAAUAGUUUAAUCCAUAUGUUACCGACUCUGGCUCCUCUUGUGAGCAGAAGUUAUUGUGCUUGUCUGCUUGAUACAGCAAUAGUGCUUUUUAUUUAAUUUUGUUGAAAAAAAUUUGGUACUGUAUUCUUUGUAGUUUGGUGUUGAGUUAAGUUAUUCUAGU
RNA transcript from Rosa chinensis, 3136 nucleotides. It is a transcript of the gene named RNA-binding protein BRN1, with no coding region annotated. The transcript has 11 exons. The record is from RefSeq and is a predicted model, not a curated record. Lineage: Eukaryota; Viridiplantae; Streptophyta; Magnoliopsida; Rosales; Rosaceae.